This 482-nucleotide ribosomal RNA is filed under the name uncultured bacterium. Its description in RNAcentral is "partial 16S ribosomal RNA". It matches the Rfam family "Bacterial small subunit ribosomal RNA", at positions 30 to 507 of the family's 1533-position model. The record is from RNAcentral.
AUUGAACGCUGGCGGCAUGCUUUACACAUGCAAGUCGAACGGUAACAGGCCGCUAGGUGCUGACGAGUGGCGAACGGGUGAGUAAUGCACCGGAACGUGCCCAGUCGUGGGGGAUAACUACUCGAAAGAGUAGCUAAUAUCGCAUACGAUCUAUGGAUGAAAGCGGGGGACCGUAAGGCCUCGCGCGAUUGGAGCGGCCGAUGUCAGAUUAGGUAGUUGGUGGGGUAAAGGCUCACCAAGCCCACGAUCUGUAGCUGGUCUGAGAGGACAACCAGCCACACUGGGACUGAGACACGGCCCAGACUCCUACGGGAGGCAGCAGUGGGGAAUUUUGGACAAUGGGCGCAAGCCUGAUCCAGCAAUGCCGCGUGCAGGAAGAAGGCCUUCGGGUUGUAAACUGCUUUUGUACGGAACGAAACGGCUCUGGUUAAUACCCGGGGCUAAUGACGGUACCGUAAGAAUAAGCACCGGCUAACUACGUG